CCAUUCACACAUCCAUUUACAAAAUGUAUCUCUGUCUUCGAUUGUAUUUAAAUUUUUCAAACGCAAAUGACUGUGUUGUAAUUGAUAAUUAUCUAUGCUCUAGACAGGUGCAGGUUUCACCUCAUUGUGAAGAUCGCGAGGAACUCAUGUUUAUUAGAUUUCAUUAAUUUAAAGGCGUUCGAUUUUAUUCCUUUGUCAUGGAGUUUCAAACUGUUCCUUUUAAUGUGACAACUCUAUUCGCCAAGGUGAAAAGGAAACGAAUCAAAAAGAAGUGCUAUCCAAACUCACCUCUUUUCAAGGUCAUUUGGCCAAUAAUAUACAUCGUGCGAAUGUUCGGUUUCGCUCCUUACAACUUCUCGCAAUAUCGCUGGACAUCAUCGAACAUCAAUUUACUCUUCACGGUGAUCGUCGCUAUUGUCUAUAGUUAUGUAUUAUAUGAAGUGUUUACCAAGUUUCUAAAUGUCAAAAGAGAAACCUUGAGCAUUGGAAGAAUAGAGAAUACAAAGGUAAUCAUCAAUUACAGCGUGGUGAUGUAUGAGCUAGGUUUAACGGCAUUCAUGAGACGCAGUUUUAUCAGGAUUUGGAAUGCGCUGCAAGAUUUCGACGAGAAUAUGAGACGUUUGGGUUAUCCUCGCAAAGAGACGAGGACUGCGAUUGUUGCGUGGUUUCUUGUAAUUAUGAUCACGAUUAUCUGGAUAGCCAUUAAUCGUAUCGGAAUGUACGCCUUUUUAGAAACAUGGACCAGCAAUAUGAAAUACAUGAUUCCCUAUAUUGGUACGUCGGUAGCUAUCUACAAGUUCGUGGCGAUAACUAUUUUUCUAGGUCAGCGGUUUGGUCACCUUAAUUCAGUUGCAAUACAAAAUCUACCAUCGACGUCAAUGGGAUGCACCAAAAUAAUCAUUAGCAAGAAGACAAUCCUGAGUCUACAUAACGAUUUGAUGGUCGCCGCCGAGGAUUUGGAGUCACUGUAUUCGUUGUCGUUGCUCUUCUGGCUUUGCAAUUUGUGUCUGCACACCGUCAGCAACGUAUAUUUUAUAAUCGAAUGGAUGAUUGUGAAGAAGUGGGAUGUGCAAUCAUGGCCGCUAGUUCUCUGCAUAUGCACUUGGUUACUGGCAUUUCUCUUCCAGCUGUUACUACUUCAUAUCGCUUGUCACUUCGCUUCAUUCCAAGUAAACUUUUCUGCAGAUGCACAGUAGAAUAUCCCUUUAUACUUAGAUAAUAAAGAAUGUCAAGAUGACAAUGCAAGACUGCGAUGAGAAUCACACGUGCAAACUUUGGACAAUUCUGCAUGAAAUAAUGGCCGAUGUGCUAAUUGCCUAGGUCCAAUUUUGAUCGAAUGGCAAGUAAAAUUGAUGAAAAAAGAAAAUGAAGAUAACGUCGAAUAUUCG
RNAcentral lists this unclassified non-coding RNA (1388 nucleotides) under Acromyrmex echinatior (Panamanian leafcutter ant). RNAcentral's name for it is "putative gustatory receptor 2a, transcript variant X1". The record is from RNAcentral. Lineage: Eukaryota; Metazoa; Arthropoda; Insecta; Hymenoptera; Formicidae.